AACGAACGCUGGCGGCAGGCCUAACACAUGCAAGUCGAGCGGGGGAGCAAUCCCUAGCGGCGGACGGGUUAGUAACGCGUGGAACAUACCCUUUGGUACGGAAUAGCCUCGGGAAACUGAGAGUAAUACCGUAUGUGCCCUUCGGGGAAAGAUUUAUCGCCAAAGGAUUGGCCCGCGUUGGAUUAGGUAGUUGGUGGGGUAAUGGCCUACCAAGCCGACGAUCCAUAGCUGGUUUGAGAGGAUGAUCAGCAACACUGGGACUGAGACACGGCCCAGACUCCUACGGGAGGCAGCAGUGGGGAAUCUUAGACAAUGGGCGAAAGCCUGAUCUAGCCAUGCCGCGUGGACGAUGAAGGCCUUAGGGUUGUAAAGUCCUUUCAGAUGGGAAGAUAAUGACGGUACCAUCAGAAGAAGCCCCGGCUAACUCCGUGCCAGCAGCCGCGGUAAU
Molecule: ribosomal RNA, 448 nt
Filed under: uncultured bacterium
Lineage: Bacteria
Description: bacterial SSU rRNA
Rfam family: Bacterial small subunit ribosomal RNA
Source: RNAcentral